RNAcentral lists this ribosomal RNA (658 nucleotides) under Escherichia coli. RNAcentral's name for it is "partial 23S ribosomal RNA". It matches the Rfam family "Bacterial large subunit ribosomal RNA", at positions 2250 to 2902 of the family's 2925-position model. Lineage: Bacteria; Pseudomonadati; Pseudomonadota; Gammaproteobacteria; Enterobacterales; Enterobacteriaceae. The record is from RNAcentral.
GACAGUGUCUGGUGGGUAGUUUGACUGGGGCGGUCUCCUCCUAAAGAGUAACGGAGGAGCACGAAGGUUGGCUAAUCCUGGUCGGACAUCAGGAGGUUAGUGCAAUGGCAUAAGCCAGCUUGACUGCGAGCGUGACGGCGCGAGCAGGUGCGAAAGCAGGUCAUAGUGAUCCGGUGGUUCUGAAUGGAAGGGCCAUCGCUCAACGGAUAAAAGGUACUCCGGGGAUAACAGGCUGAUACCGCCCAAGAGUUCAUAUCGACGGCGGUGUUUGGCACCUCGAUGUCGGCUCAUCACAUCCUGGGGCUGAAGUAGGUCCCAAGGGUAUGGCUGUUCGCCAUUUAAAGUGGUACGCGAGCUGGGUUUAGAACGUCGUGAGACAGUUCGGUCCCUAUCUGCCGUGGGCGCUGGAGAACUGAGGGGGGCUGCUCCUAGUACGAGAGGACCGGAGUGGACGCAUCACUGGUGUUCGGGUUGUCAUGCCAAUGGCACUGCCCGGUAGCUAAAUGCGGAAGAGAUAAGUGCUGAAAGCAUCUAAGCACGAAACUUGCCCCGAGAUGAGUUCUCCCUGACUCCUUGAGAGUCCUGAAGGAACGUUGAAGACGACGACGUUGAUAGGCCGGGUGUGUAAGCGCAGCGAUGCGUUGAGCUAACCGGUACU